CUUAUUACACACAUAUAUGUAAGAAAAAAAAUAUUCGGAUUGUGUAUCUCAUUCUGCAUGCUCUUUGGCUUAGGGAUAAUAGCUCAGUGGUAUAUGCUUGCCCACUAUGCCCCAGGCUCUAGUAGACAAGGUAUAUUUUGAAAAGCUCAUGGUUCCCAUACCAUUAAAAACUCACUUAAAAUUCAUUUCCCUAAGGCUAUGAUAGUGACUUCUUAAACCUUUCCUUUCUACUAGGUGGGCCCUUCCAGUCCCUUCAAAAUACAGUGCCAAGAUCAUGAAAAACACAUGAAAGUUUCAGUGCAGAUUCAGCAGUGGGAUGCCUGGUUUAGGGCUUGGCGGUUUUAAGGCUCUGGAUGCAUAGGGAGGUUUGAAAAGGAAGAGACUAUUAUCACAUCCACUGCCCACGGGGCUAGGCCUCUCUGAUGGGUUCUUUGUUGGUGUGACAGAUCAACAAACAAGAGACUUGCUGUGCGAAUUUGCAUCUCUUUGAUGAAUCUGAGACUGAACUUUUCUCCCUUCUCCCUUCUCUCCCAUCGGAAGGUUAACAGGAUUUCAUUCUGCAUUGAUUACUCAGCCAGACCUGCUGUUAGUGCUCCCACCCAGCCCACCCUUGUGCCCCCCUCCCGCCUUACCACAAUGUGUGUGCGUGGGGGGCAUAGUGACCUCCCACUUAGAACACAGCAGGAUGUGGUUCAAAGGGAGGGCAGAGGACAGAGGGAACCCUAGGAGAGGCAGCGCCAGCACACACUCCGUUAGACAGUGAACCAUUUUGACAUCAUAAAGAGACAACCCCCCGCCCCAGCCUCUGCCAUCUCAACACAGGCUGCAACGGUUUUGAUUGAUUUUUCAGCCUCUUAUGUUUAUUUUUCCUCCCAUAAAAUGGGACGAUCAAAGACCAUCUUUAAUGAGCCAAGAAGUUAUAAUUCAAUAAUGGUGCUCUAAUUAGAGGGUGGCAAAAGCAAGCUCAAGCAGAGAUCAAUGUCAAAAAGAUUCAACCCUUAAACAGUAGGAGCCCACACCAGGGACUCACAAACUGUAGCAUGUGGCACGAGCCCCUGGAGGUAUUAUUAACGACAUAGCAGGACUCCAUCCUGAAGUUCCUGAGGUGGGAAAUCUGGAGCUGGGGCUGUGAGCAUCUCUCACAGGAUCUCAGUGGUUCUAAGCUUGGCUGCAGAGUGGUAUCACCAGGGAGCUUUACAAAGCCCGAGUGAUGCAGACUGGGCAUGGGAUGCACAUCUAACUCCAAUCCUUAGAUGCUCCAGUGAAAUGGCUUAGUACAGAUGCUUACCGAAACCAUGCUACCUGCAGGUCCAUCUCAGCCAAGCUGAUCAGCAUCCGUGCUAUGAACCUUUGCCAGAAGCCAACAGGCACGAAGCUCAUCUUAAAUACCCGCUGGAUGGUGUUAGCCAUUGGGUGCCGCAUGCUGUGGGUGUCCAGCCCAGGUUUGGAUGGAAGGAGGUGUGGUAGUAGGUAGCUGAAACAUAUAAGGGAAGAGGUUGAUUAUCAUGGCCUGAGAUCUGCUACAGGACCCUGGUCCCUGCAGAUGCUGUACUAUGGGACGGUACCAGCUGACAAGGCUCAGCUUGCCAGAGGCCCUCCCUAUAGAGUUCCAAACACUAGACCGAUGUGGAGGGAAGAUGUGGAGGGAAGAUGUAAAGGCAUAAAAAUGCCAGACGCAGCCAUCGAAGUUGCUUCUCGGAAAACUGGGUCGUGGUUGUGAAAUCACUUAACAUCGACUUUGGUUGGUGGAAGAAAACCAAAUACAGCUGCACAGCUUUGAGGACAACGCAGAUACUGGGGUCAGGGUAACUGUCGUUGGUCUUCGAAGCUGUUUAUUGUCCUUGGCUAAUUAAAACAACACAACUGCCUUAAAACUUAGAACUUGGAGACUUCGCAGAAAACAAAUGUUUUAUGGGAACACAAGCACACAUGAUUAUCAUUAAAACAUUGCAUCACUGCGUGA
Long non-coding RNA from Mastomys coucha (southern multimammate mouse), 1963 nucleotides. RefSeq lists it as uncharacterized. The record is from RefSeq and is a predicted model, not a curated record. The transcript has 3 exons. NCBI's taxonomy places the organism in Eukaryota, Metazoa, Chordata, Mammalia, Rodentia, Muridae.